GCACUAGUUGUCUAGUGGUAGAAUAAUACCUUGCCAUGGUACAGAGUCGGGUUCGAUUCCCGAUUGGUGUG
Molecule: transfer RNA, 71 nt
Filed under: Ipomoea nil (Japanese morning glory)
Lineage: Eukaryota; Viridiplantae; Streptophyta; Magnoliopsida; Solanales; Convolvulaceae
Rfam family: tRNA
About the family: Transfer RNA (tRNA) molecules are approximately 80 nucleotides in length. Their secondary structure includes four short double-helical elements and three loops (D, anti-codon, and T loops).
Source: Rfam by way of RNAcentral